Paramisgurnus dabryanus is the source of this 780-nucleotide long non-coding RNA. RefSeq lists it as uncharacterized. The record is from RefSeq and is a predicted model, not a curated record. Lineage: Eukaryota; Metazoa; Chordata; Actinopteri; Cypriniformes; Cobitidae.
UUGGCCAUAAGUGUUUUUUUACCACACUGCUACCGACGAACAAUCCUAAACAGCAUUUCUUUGAUGUUUAACAGAUUACAGCAGAUCAAUAAUGAUUUUCAAGGUUGAAGUUUUGUGGGAUCAUAAAAAAUACACAUUUUCGGCAGCUUCACAGGAAGAAUUUGAGAAGACCACCAUUCUGGAGAUAAAGAAAAAAUGUUCUUCUUUUUUAUUUGGCAAUAAUAGUCCCGAUCUGCAAUCAAUUAAAAUACUUUGGGCGGGCAAAGAACUGGAGGAUGAUCAUACUCUUGGGUUUUAUAAAGUUCAACAUUGUCCAGUUCUGGUCUAUUCUGUGAAAGUGGCUGGUGGAGGAGGCCCCUUACCUGAAGAUAAAGAUGAUGGAUUUCCCAGGAGUGAGUCUAUGGAAAAAUUAAAUCUCCGAAUGUAGCGUUUCUUUUAGAGUGUCAUCUAUUUACUAUUUACCCUAUAAUAAUUUUACACUAUUAAAUGAUAUGAUAAUGUUAGUUAUCAAUAGUUGUUAGAUACUAAGCAUUAUCGUAUAAUGUAAAAAAACGGGUUAAAGGACACUAAUUGUACCUGCUGUGUUAUCUUAACUCAUUCUUCGCCAGCCAUUUUUAUUUUAUUUUCACAAAAUAUCAUCACUACAAAAACUAGACUAUGCCACUGUGACAUUGUUUCAUUCAGUCAAAACACUGAUAUUGCUGUAACAUAUCCAGCGAGAAAAAUAUGUUAAUCUAUUUUCAUAAAUUUUGCCAAUUAAAUGUUGAUGACACAAGGCUG